RNAcentral lists this ribosomal RNA (118 nucleotides) under Caerostris extrusa. Lineage: Eukaryota; Metazoa; Arthropoda; Arachnida; Araneae; Araneidae. The record is from RNAcentral.
AACGGCCAUACCAUGCUGAAUAUACCGGUUCUCGUUAGAUCACCGAAGUCAAGCAUCAUUGGGCGCGGUCAGUACUCGGUGCGCGGUGGGUGACCACCUGGGGACACCGCGUGCCGUU